RNAcentral lists this ribosomal RNA (253 nucleotides) under uncultured bacterium. RNAcentral's name for it is "partial 16S ribosomal RNA". It matches the Rfam family "Bacterial small subunit ribosomal RNA", at positions 524 to 776 of the family's 1533-position model. The record is from RNAcentral.
UACGAAGGGAGCUAGCGUUGUUCGGAAUCACUGGGCGUAAAGCGCACGUAGGCGGAUGUGUCAGUCAGGGGUGAAAUCCCGGAGCUCAACUUCGGAACUGCCUCUGAUACAGCACGUCUUGAGUCCGAGAGAGGUGGGUGGAAUUCCUAGUGUAGAGGUGAAAUUCGUAGAUAUUAGGAAGAACACCGGUGGCGAAGGCGGCCCACUGGCUCGGUACUGACGCUGAGGUGCGAAAGCGUGGGGAGCAAACAGG